This 460-nucleotide ribosomal RNA is filed under the name uncultured bacterium. RNAcentral's name for it is "partial 16S ribosomal RNA". It matches the Rfam family "Bacterial small subunit ribosomal RNA", at positions 338 to 795 of the family's 1533-position model. The record is from RNAcentral.
CCUACGGGAGACAGCAGUGAGGAAUAUUGGUCAAUGGACGCAAGUCUGAACCAGCCAUGCCGCGUGCAGGAAGACGGCUCUAUGAGUUGUACACUGCUUUUGUACGAGGCUACACGCAGAUACGCGUAUCUGUCUGAAAGUCUCGUACGAAUAAGGCUCGGCUAACUCCGUGACAGCAGCCGCGGUAAUCCGGAGGAUUCAAGCGUUAUCCGGAUUUAUUGGGGUUAAAGGGUGCGUAGGCGGUCGGAUAAGUUAGAGGUGAAAUCCCGAGGCUCAACUUCGGAAUUGCCUCUGAAACUGUUCGGCUAGAGAGUAGUUGCGGUAGGCGGAAUGUAUGGUGUAGCGGUGAAAUGCUUAGAGAUCAGACAGAACACCGAUUGCGAAGGCAGCUUACCAAGCUACUUCUGACGUUGAGGCACGAAAGCGUGGGGAGCAAACAGGAUUAGAUACCCGAGUAGUC